AUUGAACGCUGGCGGCAUGCCUUACACAUGCAAGUCGAACGGCAGCGCGGGAGCAAUCCUGGCGGCGAGUGGCGAACGGGUGAGAAAUACAUCGGAACGUGCCCAAUCGUGGGGGAUAACGCAGCGAAAGCUGUGCUAAUACCGCAUACGAUCUACGGAUGAAAGCAGGGGAUCGCAAGACCUUGCGCGAAUGGAGCGGC
This 200-nucleotide ribosomal RNA is filed under the name uncultured bacterium. RNAcentral's name for it is "partial 16S ribosomal RNA". It matches the Rfam family "Bacterial small subunit ribosomal RNA", at positions 30 to 230 of the family's 1533-position model. The record is from RNAcentral.